UACGGGGGAUGCAGGCGUUAUCCGGAAUUACUGGGCGUAAAGCGUCUGUAGGUGGUCUAAUGUGUUCUUAGUGAAAGCAUGAAGCCUAACUUCAUAAGGUCUAAGAAAACUAUUAGACUUGAGUACAAUAGGGGUAAUAGGAAUUCUUCGAGAAGUAGUGAAAUGCGAAGAUACGAAGGAGAAGACCAGAAGCGAAGGCUUUUUACUGGGUUGUUACUGACACUGAGAGACGAAAGCUAGGGGAGCGAAAGGG
RNAcentral lists this ribosomal RNA (253 nucleotides) under uncultured prokaryote. RNAcentral describes it as "partial 16S ribosomal RNA". It matches the Rfam family "Bacterial small subunit ribosomal RNA", at positions 524 to 776 of the family's 1533-position model. The record is from RNAcentral.